AACGAACGCUGGCGGCAUGCCUAACACAUGCAAGUCGAACGAGACCUUCGGGUCUAGUGGCGCACGGGUGCGUAACGCGUGGGAACCUGCCCUUAGGUUCGGAAUAACUCCCCGAAAGGGGUGCUAAUACCGGAUAAUGUCUUCGGACCAAGGAUUUAUCGCCUUUGGAUGGGCCCGCGUUGGAUUAGCUAGUUGGUAGGGUAAAAGCCUACCAAGGCGACGAUCCAUAGCUGGUCUGAGAGGAUGAUCAGCCACACUGGGACUGAGACACGGCCCAGACUCCUACGGGAGGCAGCAGUGGGGAAUAUUGGACAAUGGGCGAAAGCCUGAUCCAGCAAUGCCGCGUGAGUGAUGAAGGCCUUAGGGUUGUAAAGCCCUUUUACCCGGGAUGAUAAUGACAGUACCGGGAGAAUAAGCUCCGGCUAACUCCGUG
RNAcentral lists this ribosomal RNA (433 nucleotides) under uncultured bacterium. Its description in RNAcentral is "partial 16S ribosomal RNA". It matches the Rfam family "Bacterial small subunit ribosomal RNA", at positions 29 to 507 of the family's 1533-position model. The record is from RNAcentral.